CCCUUAGAUGUCCUGGGCCGCACGCGCGCUACACUGAUGCAUUCAACGAGUAUUUCCUUGGCCGAGAGGCCUGGGCAAUCUUUUAAACCUGCAUCGUGAUAGGGAUAGAUUAUUGCAAUUAUUAAUCUUGAACGAGGAAUUCCUAGUAAACGCAAAUCAUCAAUUUGCAUUGAUUACGUCCCUGCCCUUUGUACACACCGCCCGUCGCACCUACCGAUUGAAUGGUCCGGUGAAAUCUCGGGAUUGUGGCUAGUUCACUUUAUUGGGAGUUGGCUGCGAGAACUUGCUUAAACCUUAUCAUUUAGAGGAAGGUGAAGUCGUAACA
Molecule: ribosomal RNA, 325 nt
Filed under: uncultured eukaryote
Lineage: Eukaryota
Description: partial 18S ribosomal RNA
Rfam family: Eukaryotic small subunit ribosomal RNA
Source: RNAcentral